AAUAUUUGACAAUGGGCGCAAGCCUGAUCCAGCCAUGCCGCGUGAGUGAUGAAGGCCUUAGGGUUGUAAAGCUCUUUCUGCGGGGAAGAUAAUGACGGUACCCGCCGAACAAGCCCCGGCUAACUUCGUGCCUGCAACCGCGGUAAUACGAAGGGGGCGAGCGUUGUUCGGAAUUACUUGGCGUAAAGGGCGCGAAGGCGGACUUUUAAGUCAGGGGUGAAAUCCCCGGGCUCAACCCCGGAACUGCCUUUGAUACUGGUGGUCUUGAGUUCGGGAGAGGUAAGUGGAAUUCCGAGUGUAGAGGUUAAAUUCGUAGAUAUUCGGAGGAACACCAGUGGCGAAGGCGGCUCACUGGCCCGAUACUGACGCUGAGGCGCGAAAGCGUGGGGAGCAAACAGG
RNAcentral lists this ribosomal RNA (399 nucleotides) under uncultured bacterium. Its description in RNAcentral is "partial 16S ribosomal RNA". It matches the Rfam family "Bacterial small subunit ribosomal RNA", at positions 360 to 776 of the family's 1533-position model. The record is from RNAcentral.